GGAAGAUGCGAGCGUCAUCCGGAUUUAUUGGGUUUAAAGGGUGCGUAGGCGGCCCNUUAAGUCAGCGGUGAAANNCUGUGGCUCAACNGUAGAAUUGCCGNUGAAACUGNUNNNCUUGAGUAUGUUUGAGGCAUGCGGAAUGCGUGGUGUAGCGGUGAAAUGCAUAGAUAUCACGCAGAACCCCGAUUGCGAAGGCAGCCUGCUGAGCNAUGACUGACGCUGAUGCACGAAAGCGUGGGNAUCAAACAGGAUUAGAUACCCUGGUAGUCCACGCNGUAAACGAUGAUUACUANCUGUUUGCGAUANACUGUAAGCGGCACAGCGAAAGCGUUAAGUGAUCCACCUGGGGAGUACGCCGGCAACGGUGAAACUCAAAGG
This 378-nucleotide ribosomal RNA is filed under the name uncultured bacterium. RNAcentral's name for it is "partial 16S ribosomal RNA". It matches the Rfam family "Bacterial small subunit ribosomal RNA", at positions 527 to 907 of the family's 1533-position model. The record is from RNAcentral.